Molecule: ribosomal RNA, 253 nt
Filed under: uncultured bacterium
Lineage: Bacteria
Description: partial 16S ribosomal RNA
Rfam family: Bacterial small subunit ribosomal RNA
Source: RNAcentral
UACGUAGGGUGCAGGCGUUAAUCGGAUUUACUGGGCGUAAAGCGUGCGCAGGCGGUUUGCUAAGACAGGUGUGAAAUCCCCGGGCUUAACCUGGGAACUGCGCUUGUAACUGGCAAGCUUGAGUGUGGCAGAGGGGGGUGGAAUUCCACGUGUAGCAGUGAAAUGCGUAGAGAUGUGGAGGAACACCGAUGGCGAAGGCAGCCCCCUGGGCUAACACUGACGCUCAUGCACGAAAGCGUGGGGAGCAAACAGG